UACGGAGGGUGCAAGCGUUAUCCGGAUUCACUGGGUUUAAAGGGUGCGUAGGCGGAAUUGUAAGUCCGUGGUGAAAUCUCCGAGCUUAACUCGGAAACUGCCGUGGAUACUAUAGUUCUUGAAUGUUGUGGAGGUUUGCGGAAUAUGUCAUGUAGCGGUGAAAUGCUUAGAUAUGACAUAGAACACCGAUUGCGAAGGCAGCAGGCUACACAAAUAUUGACGCUGAGGCACGAAAGCGUGGGGAUCAAACAGG
This 253-nucleotide ribosomal RNA is filed under the name uncultured bacterium. RNAcentral's name for it is "partial 16S ribosomal RNA". It matches the Rfam family "Bacterial small subunit ribosomal RNA", at positions 524 to 776 of the family's 1533-position model. The record is from RNAcentral.